Molecule: RNA transcript, 3635 nt
Organism: Dendrobium catenatum
Lineage: Eukaryota; Viridiplantae; Streptophyta; Magnoliopsida; Asparagales; Orchidaceae
Gene name: auxin response factor 12-like
Exons: 15
Source: RefSeq, a predicted model, not a curated record
UAGCACACAAUUUUAAUAUUUUCACUUAUAAUUUACCCAGACGGGAAAUCCCCGAUAUUUCCGGCUAGUGCUGUCCUCUUCUUUUUCUCAGUGGCUUUACCGUCUGCCCCAAUUACAUCCAAUAUAUCCAUUCACGGCGAUCUGGAGCUAGUUCAUUGCCGCGCUUCUCCAUGCUAGCAUUCGCCUGAGCUUUGUGUUCUUACAACUCUUCGAGGUCGCUGCUUUUCUAUUCCUCGAGUUACUUCUUCUGUAUAUCGUUUCCCUUUGAGGAGCUCUCCAAGGCCCGAACUUCGCUAGAAAUUGUGCUUCCUUGUCGAGCUGCCCAAGAAACAAGGGAACUGUGAAGGCAGAGGUAGAGCUGCUUGGUUUCCUGAUCAGGGAACUUGGUUAUGAAUUCUAGAGUUUGAAAGUUUAUAUCUUGGAUUCCGUGGCCGCAAAUUGUUUUCUACUCAAUUAUGGAGUUGAUUUGGCUUCUUGAGCCUUAAGAGUGAGGAAUGUGAGAUUUUUUUUUGAAGUCGAUUUGGUAAGGUUCCUCCGCGAGUUUUUUAUACUCGCAAGGGUAUUUAGGGGUUUGGGAUCGACGCGGUGAAGUUGGAUAUGUGCCCUGUAGGUUUCUCUUACUUGUUGAGUGUUUACGGAGCUUUUUAGAGUGCUGCGAUGAAGCUCUCGACGGUUGGAGUUCUGGUCCAGCAGGAUGAGGAAGGGGGGGACAAGAGAUGCUUGAACUCCGAGCUUUGGCAUGCUUGUGCUGGUCCUCUAGUGUGUCUGCCCAAUGUCGGAACCCGUGUUGUCUACUUUCCACAGGGCCACAGCGAGCAGGUCGUGGCUUCCACUAAUAAGGAGGUUGAAGGCCAUAUUCCUAAUUAUCCGAACUUGCCACCUCAAUUGAUCUGCCAACUUCACGAUGUGACUAUGCACGCUGAUGCCGAGACUGACGAAGUCUACACACAGAUGACAUUGCAGCCUUUAAAUCCGCAGGAUCUGAAAGAUACAUACCUUCCAGCUGAGAUGGGGCUACCUAGCAAGCAGCCCAUGAAUUAUUUUUGUAAGACUUUGACUGCAAGCGAUACAAGCACUCAUGGAGGGUUUUCUGUUCCUCGUCGUGCAGCUGAAAAAGUUUUUCCUCCUCUGGAUUUCUCUCAACAGCCACCAGCUCAAGAGCUGAUUGCUCGAGAUAUUCAUGAUGUUGAUUGGAAGUUCAGGCAUAUCUUUAGAGGACAACCCAAGAGGCAUCUUCUCACUACAGGCUGGAGUAUCUUUGUCAGUGCUAAGAGACUUGUUGCUGGUGAUUCUGUUUUAUUUAUAUGGAAUGAGAAAAAUCAGCUUUUGUUGGGAAUCCGACGGGCUAAUCGACCACAAAAUGCUGUACCUUCAUCAGUUAUAUCAAGUGAUAGUAUGCAUAUUGGACUGCUUGCUGCAGCAGCUCAUGCUGCUGCAACAAAUAGCCGUUUCACCAUUUUUUACCACCCAAGGGCUUGUCCUUCAGAGUUUGUGAUACCACUCUCAAAAUAUGUUAAGGCUGUGUUUCACACUCGUGUCUCAGUUGGCAUGCGAUUUAGGAUGCUUUUCGAGACUGAAGAGUCAAGUGUUCGUAGGUAUAUGGGGACUAUAACAGGAAUAAGUGAUUUGGAUCCUGUCCGAUGGCCAAAUUCCCACUGGAGAUCAGUGAAGGUUAAUUGGGACGAAUCAACUGCAGGUGACAGACAACCUAGAGCAUCUUUAUGGGAAAUUGAGCCUUUGACAACAUUUCCAAUGUAUCCAUCACUAUUCCCUCUCAGACUUAAACCACCUUGGUACACUGGAGUUUCAUCUCUAAAUGACUACAAGUUAGAUGAGGGGAAUGCAUACAUGUGGCUUAGGGGGAGCUCAGGGGGGGGUAUUAGGUCUUUGAAUUUUCAAUCUCCUGGAAUUGGUCCGUGUGUUCAGCAGCAGGUCCAACCACAAUUGGGAAACAAUCACACUCCUUACCAAGCAAUGGAUGCUGCAGCUUGUGAUAUUAGAGGCAUGGAUUCACUUAGGCAGCCAUUUCUAAACUUCCAGCAGCCGUUUCAGUUCCCUCAGCAGUUCUGUAUGAACCCAUUGCUGCAGCAGCAAGUUAUUCAACAAGCUCACCAUGAACAGAUAAUGAAUUCUCAAGCUCAGUCUCUGUUGGAUAGUCAACCAAACAUUACUUCAAAUCAGCUGUUGCAACAGCCAUACGGUGAUCAGCAGAAGCAAAAAGGUCAGCAGCAACCAACUUAUCCAGAACUAUUUCAUGUUCAGAUUAAUAAUAUAGAACAGCAACAGCUGCCAAUACCCUCUCCAUUAUCUCAAAAAUCUGUAUUUCCUGAUUCAACUAUGAACUUUUCAUCAGUUGCAACACCCAGUUGCAUACAGAAUUUGUCAGCAGCGGCUUAUUCUGGAACAAAUGCUAAUAACUUGCACUUUGCAAAAACUGGUCAGACAAUGCUGGCUGAGCAGCAUCAGCAAAAAUGGGAUCCACAGUUUGCAUUGCAGAAGGUUUCUACUUUUGGUAAUACAGUUUUGCUUCAACCAUUUCACGGAAAAGAUGAUACAAGGGAAUCUGAUGUCUCUCCCACUGAUACACAAAACCACAGCCUAUUUGAUAUCAAUGUUGGUUCUUCCUUGCUUCUUGGCAAUGUUGUGCCUAAUCUAUUAAACGCAAACAAUAAUGACAAUGUUGUAUCCAGCAUGCCAUUUACCACUUCUUAUCUUCAAAAUUCACUUUAUCACAGCCUUGAUGAGUCAUCAGGUAUGUUGCAGCAUACCUACGACAUUGAUCCAUCAAUCAAAACUUUUGUAAAGGUUUACAAGUCAGGCUCGGUUGGGAGGUCACUCGACAUCACUCGUUUCAGCAACUAUACUGAAUUACGAAAGGCACUGGGUCAGAUGUUUGGUAUUGAGGGUCAACUUGAAAACCCUCUUAGAUCAGGCUGGCAGCUUGUAUUUGUUGACAGGGAGAAUGAUGUGCUUCUUCUUGGAGACGACCCUUGGGAACUUUGUGCAUUCAUGGUUGGCCGAUCAAAACCUGUACCUCUUCACCUGGUAUUCAUUUCUAAUUAAUGCAGAUCGUUUGUGAACAAUGUGUGGUACAUCAAAAUACUUUCACCAGAGGAUGUUCAGCAAAUGGGGCAGCAGGGAGUUGACUUGAGCUAAUUAACUUUGAAUUUCAAUCAAACCAAAUGGCAAGUCUGCUCGAGGUGAAAUCCCCGUAGGUGCCCAAAGUCUGUACUGUCUACUGUUAAACGUAUGACAGUAAAAUCUGCAUAAGAUACAGAUAUUUAUGCUAUAAAAUCCUUGUUGUGCAGGUUCCUAUUUGCUCUUCCAUUUACUUCUCGCCAAUAACCAUGCUCUUAGCUGUUCCAUGUACUCUUAAAUAGUAUAUUUUAUCUUCUUAUCUUAUUUAAUUCUAAUUUGUAAAGAACAAAGUGUCCUAGAAUAUAUCUAAAGCGUGGAUCUAAGAUUCGAUUACUGGAAUAAUUUUGGACAUCCAGUGAAUUUAGCUCCUGUAAUGUAAGUAGGAUUCGAGGACUGAGGAAUUUAUCCUUAUCCAUGGAUUUAUGAAGAGAUUUUUGUGCUUUGGAUAUUAUCUCUAGAUCACUAGUGAGAUAACUUAAUCAACGCCUUAAUCCGAA